ACAAUAAAAAGUGUUGGCAAGGAUGCGGAGAAAUUGGAUACACUUCAUACACUGCUGAUGGAAAUAUAAAGUGUACAUAGCCAUUGUGGAAAACUAAUCUUGCAAUUCCUCAAAACAUUAAGCAUAGAGUUACCAUAUGACCCAGAAAUUCCGCUCCUAGAUUCCAAGAGAAUUGAAAACACAUGUUCAAACAAAAUCUUGUGCGUGAAUAUUCACAGCAGCGUUAUUCAUGACAGUCAGAAAGUGGGAACAGCCCAAUGUCCGUCAUAAAUGGAUAAGCAAAAUAUGGUAUAUCCAUACAAUGGAAUAUUAUUCAGUAAUAAAAAAAUUAAGUAUUGAUACAUGCUACAACUUGGACGAAUCUCGAAAACAUUAAGCUGAGUGAAAGAAUUCAGUCACAAAAGACCACGUGUUGUGGUUCCAUUUAUAUGAAAUGUCCAGAAUAGGCAAAUCUAUAGAGACAGAAAGAAGAUUACUGGUUGUCUAGGGCUGGUGGGGUGGGGUGUAUGGGAGGGAAUAUGGGGAGGGACGGCUAACAGGUUUCCUUUGGGGGUGAUGAAAUGUUCUAAAAUUAUAUUGUGGUGAUAGUCGUACAGCCCUGUAAAUAUACUAAAAAACAUUGAACUGAUAAAAAGUGCUAAUAGUAGGUAUUUCUGGAUGGUUGGCUUAUGUUGAUUUUUGUUGUGUUUUUUUUUUUUUGUUCAUCUAUAUUUUCUACAGUGAACAAGCGUUUCUAGUUGUAAGAAAAAAGAAACAAAGUUAUUGGUUUAAAUGAUUUAUCUCAACAAGGUAACUUCUUAGAAUCCUGUAUGGAGGUUCCUGGGUUUGGGGGCAUUCUUAAGUAACGAUCCUUGAGGAAAGUUGCUGCCUUCUUGCGAGCCGUUCUCCACGUCUUCUCCUUAUUCUCUGCUGUAAAAUAGAGGAAGCUUUUUUUCCCUUCAAAUAAUGAAAUCUGUGGGUGUUUCCAUUUUUUUCGUUUUACGUGGUGAUUCAUUUCGGGCUGAAUGCCUUUCCAUUUUUGACUUUUCAUUGUUUGCUGCGUCACAAGAACUUCUGCAUUUUAAAUUCUCGAUUUGGAUGGGAAUACAGUCCAUGUGGUUCCACAAAUGGAGUUUAAACCUUUCCUCCAAUUUGGCAGAUUGCAUUCUUGCUCCUUCCCCUACCCUGAGACCGAUUAUCGUUUGGUUGUAAUCCCUUAACGGUGAUAAAUAUAAACGACAAUGAAUGCAUGUUGCAAAAAGAAAAUCUUAAAUUUCAAUUUGACUGUCUAAUAAUAUGCUGUGAGAAUGAAAAUGACUGUGUUAAAAUAGGUUAUAAAUGUCUGAAACAUUAUAUAAAAGUAGUUGGAAGAAUUAGGGGUUUUCUCUUUAUUAUGGCCUAUGUUGAAUGUUAAUUAAUUAGUUUAUUGCAGGUGAGAGGAUCAAUCAGUAUCAGGUGAUAACUAGGCUUAAGGAAAACAACUAUCAAUUCAUAUUUGCUUAAAAGAUUAAAGACAUCUGCUUGCCUAGUUGAAAGGCAAUACUACUUAAGAGAAAUCCACGAACAUGUUAUAACGUCAGAUUUUCCUCUUAGACAUAGACCAUGAAAUUAAGAAUGACUACAUUACACUUGGAGGGGGCACAGACUGCAAAAUCUGAGACAAUUGAUAGAAAAGCACUUCCAAAAGGGUCUGGAGCUAAAAAAGACAAAGAGAGGAAAAAAACCUUUGGAAACAAAUGCUGGUUUUCAGUGGCCACUUAGGGAGCCAGUUCCAGAGAAGAUGCUCCUAGAAGGGUCCUGCAGCACAGCCCAGCUCAGAUGGAACAACCUGGCUUUCAUUUGGGAGUCCCUUCUUCCUCCGUCCACGUGGUUCUGUGGGUGCCCCUGUUCUUGAAUCCAGCGGUGACUCGUGAGCCAGUGCAGCCAGUCAGACCAUCACGGCCCCCACACAGCAGUGACUGGCUCAGGGCUUCCUGUCGGCCACUGCAAUCGCAGCCUCUCCUUCAGUUCUGCAGCCAUCUUGCUACACAGAGCUUGACAACAAAACCAGAUUUAUUAUUUUUUUAGCCCAGAAUCCAGCCAUGUUUGGAGUCUGCUCCACAUUGGGGCUUCUUAGCUACAAGAUCCAGCAAACCCUCCUCCAUUUUUGUCCUGUUUUAUUUUUCUCCUUAUACUAGUUCAUAGUGGAUUUUCUGUAGAAUCCUCAGUGAUGUAUUUGUGAAUAUUUCUAAAUCUCUAAAACGUAAAAUUAUACAAUGAAGA
This is a long non-coding RNA of Equus quagga, 2241 nucleotides long. RefSeq lists it as uncharacterized. The record is from RefSeq and is a predicted model, not a curated record. Lineage: Eukaryota; Metazoa; Chordata; Mammalia; Perissodactyla; Equidae. The transcript has 4 exons.